GGGAGGGUUGGCCUCCUUCUGGUCGGGCAAGAGAAGGGGCUCCGAUUCCCGCCAGGGGGCGAUUAGUACUUGGAAGGAGAAACGCAGCAGGUUGUCUUGAAGCGCCUUAAAGGCUCCCCGCGGAAGCUUGCAUGCUUGUGGCAGGAGCUUUUACGCGCUCUCUAUCUCACACACAAACACGUACGUAGAGAGGAUGGCACUGUAAAGCAGCCCUCGCCAUGUUUUGGACGAAAACUCCCCAUCGGAUGGGAGUUGUCCAAAAACAUCUGGAGGGCGCCAGGUUGGCAAACGCGGCAUGUAAACAGUAAAGCCUUCAAUGCAAAGAUGUGACGCGACUGUGCAAAGCUGAAACGUAUACAAGAUGUGAAUCGCGGGCGCAAAGCUGUCAACGUUUCCCUUUUUUUUAAGGGAAAUUCCCUUAUUCCGAAUAGGAUUCCUCGCAAGAAAAGGGAAAAGUUGACAGCUAUGCGCGGGCGUAGCCGAGAUUUAUUGGGGGGGGGGAGCAGAACUGAGUUAUCUACAAUGCGAUGGGUCAGUUAGUUAAGUAUUUAUUAUUUAUUUGCUUGAUUUAGGGGGGCAGCUGCCCCCCUGCACUCCCCUGACUAUGCCCACGAUGUGAAUGGUUACCUUUUAACUUGUAUUCAUUUGAGCUUCGCACUGUGAAAUUUUAUCUCCUUUGCCUGACCUUUUGACUCCACUGUUUACGUCGUCGUCGUCGUCGUCGUCGUCCCCUCGCCACCGUCCGGAUCCCUUUGUCUGUGUGUGGCUCUGCCCGGUUAGAAUCCACUUUGGCAUCUGAGGAAAGCUUAUACUGAAACAUCCUGCUAGUUUCUAAGGUGCCAGAAGACCCCCUUUUAUCCUGAAAAGGGAGAUAGCAGGAUCUCACCUGGCUGCUCAAAUUAUUGGGGUGGAGUGAUGCUAACCUUAGUUAGUUUUAAGCCAACUACAGUGUUACCUCGGGUUACAGACACUUCAGGUUACAGACGCUUCAGGUUACAGACUCCGCUAACCCAGAAAUAGUGCUUCAGGUUAAGAACUUUGCUUCAGGAUGAAAACAGAAAUCGUGCAGCAGCGAUGCGGCAGCAGCGGGAGGCCCCAUUAGCUAAAGUGGUGCUUCAGGUUAAGAACAGUUUCAGGUUAAGAACGGACCUCCAGAACGAAUUAAGUUCUUAACCCGAGAUACCACUGUAUGUGGCAUAAGAUUUUGAUAAAAUUGUGGUGAGUCAGAGUUAGGGCUUGUUUAGACUUCAUUACGGCCACCUUUACCCCAUUUUGAGCACAGAUCUCAACUUACCAGCCAAUGAUAGCAUUUUAAAAUUAUUAUUUAAAGGGCUUCCCUUUAUCUCGAAUGUUUUAAACUUCAGGGCAGAUCUGCACCAUGUAUUUAAAGCACAUUUAAAUCUGUGUCAAAUGUGCUUUAGUUGGUGUGGUAUACGUACUUUUUAUUGCCCAUCUCUGUAAAAUGUUCUCUUUUGAUUAUUGAUAAUACUGCAUUUUAAACUUUCUUUUCAGGCAAUUGUUGUAUCUCAAAGUGGCUCACAUAAACUAAAAAGCAGGCCCUGUCAUCGGGUUUACAAGCUAAAAGGACCAGAGCCUCAAGGAAAGGGGAGGGGAGGGAAAUGUGUACUUCAAGGCUAGAAAAAUGUGGCAAGCUGCAAGAAUUUAUGGUCAUAUUCUCACAUCAUAUGUUUAAAGCCAUGUCAUAGGAGUAUAGCAUCUAGAUCAAGGGAAGUAAUAGUGCCACUGUAUUCUGCUCUGGUCAGACCUCACCUGGAGUACUGUGUCCAGUUCUGGGCACCACAGUUCAAGAAGGACACUGACAAACUGGAACGUGUCCAGAGGAGGGCAACCAAAAUGGUCAAAGGCCUGGAAACGAUGCCUUAUGAGGAACGGCUAAGGGAGCUGGGCAUGUUUAGCCUGGAGAAGAGGAGGUUAAGGGGUGAUAUGAUAGCCAUGUUCAAAUAUAUAAAAGGAUGUCACAUAGAGGAGGGAGAAAGGUUGUUUUCUGCUGCUCCAGAGAAGCGGACACGGAGCAAUGGAUCCAAACUACAAGAAAGAAGAUUCCACCUAAACAUUAGGAAGAACUUCCUGACAGUAAGAGCUGUUCGACAGUGGAAUUUGCUGCCAAGGAGUGUGGUGGAGUCUCCUUCUUUGGAGGUCUUUAAGCAGAGGCUUGACAACCAUAUGUCAGGAGUGCUCUGAUGGUGUUUCCUGCUUGGCAGGGGGUUGGACUCGAUGGCCCUUGUGGUCUCUUCCAACUCUAUGAUUCUAUGAUUCUAUGAUUCUAUGAUUCUAAUAACACUUUAAACAGUCAUGGCUUUCCCCAAAGAACUCUGGGAGCUGUAGUUUGCUAAGGGUCCUGAGAGUUGAGGAGACCCCUAGUCCGCUCAGAGAGCUACAAUUCCCAGAAUUCCCUGUGAAGACGGAUUGUUAAACCACACCUGGGACUAAGUUUAUAAAUGCACUAGAAGCUGAUAUCAUCUGUGAAAGGCUUUUCUGGCGGGGAUGUUGUGGGGGGGGGGGGGCAUGGAGAGGAAAAAUGGGUUUUCUAUACUUUUAACAGUUUCACAAUCACAUUAUAAAACUGGACAGUUUUCUCUUUUUAAAUGGCUCCCAGAUUAUAGAUAUAAGCAGUCUGUAUAUAGUCAUGUCUAUAGUGUGUCCCAGAUAUAAAGUACCUUUCAAAAUUAAAUAAAUAAUGGUGAGGCCAGGCGGGAGGACAAGCAAAUUGUUCCCAGAUGCCUUUUAACGUCUGGGAAGAAAAAAAGAAAAUGCUUAUUCAGUAUACAGUCCAAGCUGCACUACUGGCAGAUAUUGAAUUUCUGCUUCUCUCUCUUUUUAGCCCUGAAAACGUCUUGACAUCUUGAAGCAAUCAGCGGCUACGAAAAGGCACGUGCCUCCGGCAGCCAAGGGACAAGCAAGACGUGACAGCAGCAACAGUCUUGAGUGCCAGGCUUGGAUCACAGCAAACUGUGUCUCUGUGUGAAUUUAAAGCACAGAAUGGGCAGCAGGGUGGUGUUUAUGUGUGCCAAAUCUUUUCCCUGGCCAGGCCUCUUCCCUCUAACGCUGCUUCUGCCUGAUUUUCUCUCCGUGGGGCUAACUCCCACUAUGGGCCCCUUUCGACAUCCCCUUUUAUUAUGGCACAUUCAAAAUCAUUUGUGUUCAUGAGGCUAUCGAGCCAGUUAUACCAGUGAUGUGCAAUGAAUUUUUUUUGUAGGGCUGUACAGUGGUACCUUGGGUUAAGAACUUAAUUCGUUCUGGAGGUCCGUUCUUAACCUGAAACUGUUCUUAACCUGAAGUACCACUUUAGCUAAUGGGGCCUCCCGCUACCGCCGUGCUCUCAUCCUGAGGUAAAGUUUUUAACCUGAGGUACUAUUUCUGGGUUAGCGGAGUCUGUAACCUGAAGCGUCUGUAACCAGAAGCGUCUGUAACCUGAGGUACCACUGUAUGUACAUUUGGUGACUCCAUAGUUGAACCACCUGCAAGGCAGGAAUCUCCAUUCAAGCAUCCCUGGCAGAGGCCUAAAAACCUUCAAUGAAGGAGAGUUCACAACCUCCCAAGGAAGCCCAUUCCCCAGCCGGUCAAUUUGCCAAUUCCUAGCAGCUUGCAAAAAGAAGAAGAAAAGUUUGGCUUGGCUUUGUUUUUUGAAGAAGACAAGCCCAGAGGUGGAAGGGUGGGUUCCUCCUCCCAAUUAAAAAGCUAUUUUUACACCCCUUUCUUUCUUCAUCAUCUCCCUUACUAUGAUUGUGCUGUUGCUGGUUGUGGCCUGUUUCUGCUGAUCCUUCAGGUUCUGGCAGAUUGGGACUGGCGGUUUAUUAUAACACCAUGCUUUCAAACACACACACACACACACAGAGAGAAAGAAAGAGAGUGGCUGAAGGAGGGGAGGAAGGAAACGAGAUUAUUAAGGUUGCAGGGGUCUUAUAUUCCACCAACUGCUAUUUCUUACAAAAUGAAGGAGAAGGGGCUGCAGUUCUGCUUCAAGCCAUUGCUUCCUGCUCAGGUGUGUGCAUUGCUUUGCAGGGUUGUGCAAUUUUGCAGCCUUUAUGGAGGUAAUCAGAGAGAGA
Molecule: non-coding RNA, 4067 nt
Organism: Podarcis lilfordi (Lilford's wall lizard)
Lineage: Eukaryota; Metazoa; Chordata; Lepidosauria; Squamata; Lacertidae
Source: the annotation of a GenBank genome assembly